Molecule: ribosomal RNA, 326 nt
Filed under: Globigerinoides ruber albus
Lineage: Eukaryota; Foraminifera; Rotaliida; Globigerinidae
Description: SSU rRNA
Source: RNAcentral
UUCGUGGAGUGAUCUGUCUGCUUAAUUGCGUUUCAAAUUUUUAACCNANGACCGGGUUUUGGUUUGGCUAGUGGUCCUACGAUGACUGUGAACUGUCAUGUCUUCGGANGUACGACUAUCGGUCUAGGAUCACAUGACUUGCCCCUGGGACUCUUUUGAACGCAACGGACGUGAUUGCAACCCCUUGUUGAGAUUAGAGAUAGUCUCGAUAUUCACUGGCCAAACUGGCUGCUUUAUGCAGUCUUGUUGAAUGGUGGAUAAACUCGGGGGACUGCUGACUAUAACCAUUUCUCAAAACAGAGGAAGGUUGCGGCAAUAACAGGUCU